RNAcentral lists this ribosomal RNA (465 nucleotides) under uncultured bacterium. RNAcentral describes it as "bacterial SSU rRNA". It matches the Rfam family "Bacterial small subunit ribosomal RNA", at positions 30 to 507 of the family's 1533-position model. The record is from RNAcentral.
UGAACGCUGGCGGACGUGCUUAACACAUGCAAGUCGAACGAGAAACGGUCUAGCUUGCUAGAUGCAGUCUAAGUGGCGCACGGGUGAGUAAUAUAUAGGUAAUAUGCCUCUUAACUAAGGGAUAACAGAUGGAAACGUCUGCUAAUACCUUAUAUGCCUUUAGGACUAAAGUCCGCAAGGGAAAGAUUUAUCGGUAAGAGAUUAGCCUGUACAGUAUCAGUUAGUUGGUGAGGUAAUGGCUCACCAAGACUAUGACACUUAACUGGUUUGAGAGGAUGAUCAGUCACACUGGAACUGAGACACGGUCCAGACUCCUACGGGAGGCAGCAGUGGGGAAUAUUGCACAAUGGACGAAAGUCUGAUGCAGCAACGCCGCGUGGAGGAUGACACAUUUCGGUGCGUAAACUCCUUUUAUAUGAGAAGAUAAUGACGGUAUCAUAUGAAUAAGCACCGGCUAACUACGUG